GUGCCAGCCGCCGCGGUAAUACCGGCAGCCCGAGUGAUGGCCGAUCUUAUUGGGCCUAAAGCGUCCGUAGCCAGCCGAACAAGUCCGUUGGGAAAUCCACCCGCCUAACGGGUGGGCGUCCAGCGGAAACUGUCCGGCUUGGGGCCGAACGACCCGAGGGGUACGUCCGGGGUAGGAGUGAAAUCCUGUAAUCCUGGACGGACCACCAAUGGGGAAACCACCUCAGGAAGACGGACCCGACGGUGAGGGACGAAAGCUAGGGUCUCGAACCGGAUUAGAUACCCUUGUAGUCC
RNAcentral lists this ribosomal RNA (293 nucleotides) under uncultured bacterium. RNAcentral's name for it is "partial 16S ribosomal RNA". It matches the Rfam family "Archaeal small subunit ribosomal RNA", at positions 455 to 747 of the family's 1478-position model. The record is from RNAcentral.